AUUGAACGCUGCCGGAAUGCUUUACACAUGCAAGUCGAACGGCAGCACGUACUUCGGUCUGGUGGCGAGUGGCGAACGGGUGAGUAAUGUAUCGGAACGUGCCAAGUCGUGGGGGAUAACGUAGUGAAAAUUACGCUAAUACCGCAUACGAUCUAUGGAUGAAGGCGGGGGAUCGCAAGACCUCGCUCGUGUGGAAGGGCCGAUAUCAGAUUAGGUAAUUGGUGGGGUAAAGGCCCACCAAGCCAACGAUCUGUAGCUGGUCUGAGAGCACGACCAGCCACACUGGAACUGAGACACGGUCCAGACUCCUACGGGAGGCAGCAGUGGGGAAUUUUGGACAAUGGGCGAAAGCCUGAUCCAGCCAUUCCGCGUGCAGGAUGAAGGCCCUCGGGUUGUAAACUGCUUUUGUACAGAACGAAAAGGUUUCUACUAAUACUAGGAGCUCAUGACGGUACUGUAAGAAUAAGCACCGGCUAACUACGUGCCAGCCGCCGCCGUAA
This 500-nucleotide ribosomal RNA is filed under the name uncultured bacterium. RNAcentral describes it as "partial 16S ribosomal RNA". It matches the Rfam family "Bacterial small subunit ribosomal RNA", at positions 30 to 523 of the family's 1533-position model. The record is from RNAcentral.